GCAUUGGUAGUGUAAUGGAUCAGGACGACAGACCGGAUAUCUGUGAGUGCGGGUUCGAGUUCUGCCCGAGGUC
Molecule: non-coding RNA, 73 nt
Organism: Dictyocaulus viviparus (bovine lungworm)
Lineage: Eukaryota; Metazoa; Nematoda; Chromadorea; Rhabditida; Metastrongylidae
Source: Rfam